GUUUGAUCAUGGCUCAGAACGAACGCUGGCGGUCAGAGCCUAACACAUGCAAGUCGAGCGCGCCCUUCGGGGUGAGCGGCGGACGGGUUAGUAACGCGUGGGAAUGUGCCCAAAGGUAGGGAAUAGCCUCUGGAAACGGAGAGUAAUACCCUAUGUGCCCUUCGGGGUGAAAGAUUUAUCG
Molecule: ribosomal RNA, 181 nt
Filed under: uncultured bacterium
Lineage: Bacteria
Description: partial 16S ribosomal RNA
Rfam family: Bacterial small subunit ribosomal RNA
Source: RNAcentral